Long non-coding RNA from Pezoporus flaviventris, 1552 nucleotides. RefSeq lists it as uncharacterized. The record is from RefSeq and is a predicted model, not a curated record. The transcript has 3 exons. Lineage: Eukaryota; Metazoa; Chordata; Aves; Psittaciformes; Psittacidae.
CUUCCUUAACCUUAACUUGCAUUUUGUUUAGAGAGGCUAAAUAUCGAGUCAUAUUUGAAGUCAGCUUUGAAGCUUUGACCAUGGCAUAGCUCACGUAUUUAAAAUGUCAAACCUCAGUUUGAUCAGUUCCUCAUUCUUUACUCAGUGUCUUCUGAUUUCUGGUGGGUAAUCAUUUCUGAGUUUUGGGAGACUUGUGAUUUUAAAAGCUAACAUGGGGGAAUAGUGGCGGCAUGUGAGAAAGUAUAUUAAAUUGCUGAUGUAGAAGUUCAUAAAUAGAGAAUUAUUUUCAUAUUGAUGUUUUCUCUAAAAUUUAAAGGGCAUUGGUUUCCCCCCCAUAUUAAAAAGGAUACUUUUUUCAAUUUUUACACAAAAGUGGUUACUAUUUUCUGACUCUCUUAAUUUAGAAUUUUAUUGUAACAAGUUUGAAGUUUCAAAUCUUGUCUGUGUUGUAAAGUUUCUCUGACCAAGAUCAAUUUUUUACUGCCCAUCUCUCCUCUAGAGAUCACAGUGAAGACAUUUUUAACAGAAUUCAAAGAAGGCUUUGGGGAGUACUUCUUAUAUUGUUUAAUGUUUGAAAUCACAUUUUGAUUUAAACAAAUAAUGAUACAACAUUUCUGUUUUGAAAUGCAAGCAGUAAUUAAGUUCAGAGAGGUGUAAAUCUUGCUUAAGUGCAAUGUUUGUGCUUCUGCAAGGUGUUGUAAACAGUUACAGAGCACGAAGGAAAGAUCUGUGUCCUGUUGUUCUUGGAGCAGUGGUGUCUAAAGGGCAAGCUGACAUGCUGGAAAGCAUUUCCCAUGAUAAGGUUAGAGACUGUGAAUGAUGUGAGGAAUUAUUUUUAAACUGAAAAGUUACAGGCUAGGCUUCAUUAACAGAUCAUGUGAGGGAAGGUUAAACAAAAGCUGCUUGCAGAAGAGGAGAGAGGUAAUUGAAACAAUCCACUACUGGUUUAAGGUUUGUUUUCCUGAAAAUCAGUUUAGAUACAAUUAUGCAGCCUGAACUAACUACAGGCCUGGAGCAGAAAACAACAGACUGGAAAUAUCAUGAUACAGUGAGGUCUUGGCUGAGUUGUUGGAGUUCUCCUCCUCAAGCAGAGGAAUUAAGGAGGAUGCUGGUUACUUGUUCUCACAUUCUACAGCAAAGUUGUUUGCCACGACAGAAAAGCCCAGCUAUCUAUCUACAUAGAAAGGGUAACUGAAAGGACAGCAUGAAACAGAAAAUGAUGUGGAGGAUGAUCUCCUCUAUAUGACCUUCUACAAUAUGGAGCCUGAGCAGAGCAAGAUAAAUUCACACUCACUAAUAUGAUGGGUGCAGCACCCAAACUGCUGGACAGAGAAAGGCAUUAUGUUUUCCCUUUGAAUGAUGAAACAAUUCCUAGGCUCUUUUUCUGCUGCAGAAGUAGUGUGUGCUUAACUACAUUCUCAUCCAGCCAAAUAUUUAGAGACAUUUAAGCAUAUUUUGCAGGGGCCCUGCUAGUGUGGUGACUUCAAAGGCAUGUGUCUGCACAUGACUUACUUGGCUAGCAGCUAUAGCAAUUAAACAAGUUUUGCCAGUA